UCCUGUGCAAUAGGGAUUCAUCGCCCAUCCGAUUUAACUCCUUUUAGCUUGCCUUAUGUGUCAUAAAAAAUUAGAAGAUAUGUCCUUCUGAAGUCCGGAUCCAAAACUAUCACCCACUAUCUGUAGCCAGUUGUGAGGGCUAAUCUUACUGAGUAGUCAGGGAUUAAUUGGACGAGUAAGCAUACAGUAUUCUCAACAGUCCGUAAUGAACCAAGUACUGAGUAUUCCUUGACAAAGUACGAUUUGCUGACUAUAAGCCAAUUGAGGUCAUAAUACAAUGAAAACAGUAAACAUUGUUAUUGUCAGAAGAAAAAGAUGACUGCUGUUGUCAUCCGAGGAGAUUUGAUCAAAUAAAAGAAGGGUGCAAUUUACCAAUUGUUUUAUGAAUAUAAUAGACAGUUUGAAAGUUCUUUGUUAAUUCAUAUCACCGAUAAGAAAACAUAGUUUUUCACUGUAUAUAUCUUCAUUGUUGGCACAAUUAAAACAGAAUUCAAGAGGCUAACUUGUCUGGCUUAUAUCCCAAGAACAAAGAACUUUCUCAAAUACAAUUUCUGUUCUCUGCUGUUAAGAUCAUUUUUUUAAACAGAGCGUCACACACUUCCUUAAUCGAAUUGGUGUAUAAGAUAUACCAGUCAGGCUCAGGAUAUCUUAGCAGCCAUGCCAAUAUUUUAUUCGAGAUCAUCCAGUGGUGUUCUGUUUUUUCAACAUACUAUAUAUAAUGUGUUUCUAUGUGAAUAGAUGGAUGAAAUGUCUCAGACACCUAUACGACCAAUACUGUUUCCAAUAAACAUUACUCUUUGAAGGCCUACUUUCUUUGUGGUAUCUUAACUUUAGCUAAUUUCUGACCUUUAUUGGUCCUAGAUAGUAAUGCAUGAGCAGGACUCAACCUUUACAGAUCCUAGGUAGUAGUGCAUGAACUGGACUCAAGGGCAAAUUAGGUGACGAGUUCUGGAAUUCAAAGAAAGGCCUCCUUCUCUUUGUAAGGUGUAUUAUUUCAACUACUACUCCACCCCCUUGACGUGACCUUCUUAAGAACUGUCACAUGCUUCCACUCAUCCUAUGCAGAGCAAUGAUCAUAGCAGCUUGGAGUAAUGGAGUAAUAUUAUAUUCUCCAGCUGGCCCCAGUCACAUGACUCGUGACAUUUCUGUACUUUCCAAUCAAUCAACUAGACUGAAUACUGAUCUAGUAGAAUCCUGGAUGACAAAAACAAUAACACUUCAACAAGUCACCGUGCUCAUUUUACAUCUUAAAAGAUUGAAUGUUCUCUUCAAGUUAAUUGUUAGUACAUUCAUUUUGCACAAUAAACCAGAA
This is a long non-coding RNA of Limulus polyphemus (Atlantic horseshoe crab), 1312 nucleotides long. RefSeq lists it as uncharacterized. The transcript is spliced from 3 exons. The record is from RefSeq and is a predicted model, not a curated record. NCBI's taxonomy places the organism in Eukaryota, Metazoa, Arthropoda, Merostomata, Xiphosura, Limulidae.